Molecule: long non-coding RNA, 2649 nt
Filed under: Salvia miltiorrhiza (redroot sage)
Lineage: Eukaryota; Viridiplantae; Streptophyta; Magnoliopsida; Lamiales; Lamiaceae
Description: long non-coding RNA (SMIL_LNC008356)
Source: RNAcentral
UUUUAAUAAAUAUGUUGGGCCAUAGUUUUUAUUCUUUUUCUAUGAUAAUUGGGUUAAAAUUUUAUUAUUUGAAAGCCCAUUUAUCACCUUAAAAGCCCAAUUAUUAUUAUAAGUCCAUAUGUCUUUCUUUAAUUUAAAUGAGAUGUUACGUGGUUCAGUUUUUCCUUAGCCACAUAUUCGGAUUUAAUCACCUUCAGUCACCUAAUUUUAUUCAGCCACGUAUCACUCACUGCUAUCACAUUUAAAAUUCACCCAAAUAACUUGCUAGGUUUCAUUUCAUCAAAAUUUUCCAGAGCACAAAUUUCAUUCAAGUUAACAGACUUCUCAUUUCUGAUAUUUCCUUCACAAAACUUCAGCUGGUAAUUUUAUUGUUUCUGUGAGAUUUCAUGUUUUAAUUUAUCACAGCAAAUUACUACGUUUUUCUUUCAUUCUCAUUUAUUUUGUGAAACAACACAAGCCCAUUAAACCAAACUCCUCUGUACAUAUGCACAUAACCAAAAAUUUCCUUAAAAAGAAAAUCUUUUAUAAGAAAUCAUUUUGAAUAAAUUCCUUUCCGUAGCAAACUUUGAUCAGCUGCAGCAGUAAACUUUGAAUUCUACAGCAGCAAACUUUAAUCAGCAAACUUUGAUUUCCAGUAGCAAACUUUGAUUUCUUUCACACUUCAAAUCUUUGACGAAUCCUCAAAUUCACAAAUUCGAUUUUUACUCCUCAACCACGAUAUUUCAAUCCAGUAUAUAUAUGUAUAUCUAAUCUUCUUCAUCGCAAUUACCCAGCAAAUCCAACAGGAAAAAGUCUUUUAUAAUUCAUCCUGUUUCCUUCCCACUGCCGAAUCUCCAUCGGUAAUUCUCAAAAACUUGUAUAGUUUAUUUUCAUAUGCAAAGAUCUCUGCUUUCUUUCAAUUUACAGAAAACAACCAAACUCCCACAAAAUUCUUGUUUUUAUAAAUCCAAACUUGCAUACAUAUCAUUAAAGCUAUCUUUUGUAUUUCAUAAGAAAAUUGAAAUAGAAUGCAUAUUCACUGAUUUUACAAUAAAGAAAAUUAGAUUUAGAAACCUAGAAUAAUGGGGGGAAUUAAAAUGAAAUGAGGUGAGGGAUUGCUCGCCGGAGCAACGACGCCGCUGCGUGUGCAGGGGUGGCGGCGUACGGCGAGAGGAAACAGGGGCAGCGGCACCGUGGUCUCUGCCGCUGCUGAGUAUUUCCGGUCAGGGCGGAGGGAGAAGCGUUUGGGCUGUGCUGCUGUCCGUCGCAGUGGCGGCCGUCUGGUGGCGCGGUGGUAGGAGGCCGAGAGGGAGAGAGAGGGGUAGAGAGAAGAGAGAGAGAGCGGCUGAGAGGGAAGAGGCGUGAGUUGUAUGUUUGUGAUGGGUGUAGAAGUCAAAGUAGGAUUUAAGUUAGGAUUUAAUAAUGGGCUUGAGAAUAGGCUUUAGAUUGGGUUUAGUUUUCAUUAAGUGGUUUGGGCUUGUUUUAAUUUAUUUGUGGGUUGAAUAAUUAGCCAAUAAACCACAACAAUAAUAUUUCUUUUAUGGGCUGUAUUUGCAUAUAUUUUUACAAAGGAUAUUAUUAAAUUUCAUAUUCAAAUUUACAUUAUUAAUUUAAAUUUAGUUUUCAUUAAAUUUUUGAACCCAAAUAUUUUUAUAAGAAAAGCUCUUUUAUAAUCUAUUAGACCAAUAAUUUUUAAAUGGCUAUAUGAUAAUAAAUUCUUAAGAUUUAAAUUACUAUUAUUAUUUUUUUUAAAAUUCAAUUAGGCCCUUAUAUGUUAUUAUUUGAAUUUAUCUGACUAGGUGCGGCGCGACUAGGACGUGAACUUUAAAUUAUUGCAGUUAAUUUUCAAAGCUCAAAAGUUCAAGUUUCAGGUGUGGGAUUUAUUUCAGUACAUGCACGUGGUUAAUAUUUGUCCAUUUUAAUAUUAUGUGUUUACCGUAUGUGUUGUAAAAAUAUUUAUCGCUAGGGGCCAGCAUAAUUGGUCCAGGACUUCACCGUCCUUGGUAUGCCACAAUGCGAUUUCAUGUUACAGGGUUGCAACCAUUAUAUUGUCGCCAGGGGCCCACAUAUAGGGUCCGGGACAUUAAAGUCCUUGGAGUUGCCACAGUGCGUAUGGAAAUUUAUGUUACGUUAUGACAAUAUGUGUUACCAUUUUAUUAACAUGGACAAUUAUUGCAUGUUUCCACACUGAGUGUACCCUGUAUGCUCAUCCCAUAUUUAACAUUUUCAGGUUUUAAAGGCCGGAAGCGCGUGGAAGGUCGAAUGGCGAGUAAAAUGUUUUGAAUUUAGUUAUACUUAAAAACGUUAUGUUUAGUAAAGUAUUUUAACAUAAGAUAUUUAUUUCCCUAUUUUCACAUUAAAUAUUUAUUUAUAGUCAUUAUUUUCCACGUGCGUUUUCAUUUAAAAUUAAAAUGAAUUUGGGUGUCACAAGUCGAAUGGGCGCGUCGAAUCUAUUUAAAGAUAAAUGUUUCUUAAAACAUAUUAUGUUAUUUCAUGUGAUAUCUUUUGGUUAUGUAAACUCUGAAAUUCUAUACUAUUUGAGAUUUGUGUGUGAUUUGUUUAAAUAAAUGUUAUUAUAUUAUUUUAAUGUCAUGACUUGUUUAAUUUAUAUUUAAAUUCAUUUCAAAUAUUUAUUUAAGAAUUUAUAUCUUUACGAAAAUAUAUACAUGG